CGCAGUUCUAUUUUUCCUGACUCAGGAUGGAAGAGAGGAAAAAUAAUGUACAAAUACAGACUUUUCCAGUUACAGGGAAUGUACUCAUUACCUGUAACUGGAAUGAGUACACUUUAAAUCUUUUGGGGGUAGCUCUACCACAGCCACGCCGAGGAGAUAGAGCCCUACUAAUCAAACGGUUGGUUGUAGGAUCCCAGCUGCUUCAGUCAGCAUGCCAAGAUAUCUUUGGGCAAGAUACUAAACCUUGAAUUUCUUUCCAUGUGUUCAUUAGAGUCUGAAUGCAUGUGAAUGUUAGAUAGAAAGCUUGUGUGAAUGGGUGAAUGAGGCUUGUAUUAUAAAGCACUUUAAAUGCUUUAAGUGCACUUUAAGUGCAUCUGUGUCCACACCUGACUAACAUCAAUUAAACAUGGAUAUAACAAAGCCACCAGCAGCUGUUUUCUUUUUCUUUGGUACGCUUAAAAAUGCAAGCAACAAAAAGAGCACUUUUCCACCACUGAUAUCAGCGGACCAAACUUAAAACGUGUUCUUUGCUUUGGCCACAGAGUUUGGAGCCCGAUUAGAUUCUUCAGACAGAGUGGGAAUGCAGAAACCCAGCUUGACAAACAUAUAAAUCACCCUUUUUUUUUUUUUUUUUUUUUUAGCUUUCUUGCACCUGUUGGAGUGAGACAAAUUGAACCUUUAUCAUUCUCCUUGGUACAUGGAGUUGGUUUCAACCUGAGCAGAGAUUUAAUCUCGGAUUAAUUAAUAACACACUGUUGAUGUGCAGUGCCUUUGGGGCUUAAGUCAUGAUUUAAUUAAAUAAAGCCAUGCCUCAACGACAUCCAAUAUUACAGUAAAACAAUAAAAUUUGAAUCAAGGACAGCAUUCAACUUCAUAAGAGGUUUAACAACUUUAAGGCAAAACUAAAGUAAAUAUGAAGUUAAAACUCAGAAGCAUUGAGGCACUGACAUCAGAUCAGUCAGUGAGGUUUCUCUGUAUAUCUUUGAGUUUUAAAGUUGUCACUGUGCAAAACACAGAGCAGUCUUAUCAGCAGGUCUUCAGACUCCUUGAUCCCCCAGUGACAUAUCUGCUCACCACUCCUGUACGUGCUUUUUACAAUUGGCUAUAUACAAUGCUCUGACACAGUAAAAACAACUUUAUUUGUCUGGGAUACUAAAGCCAUGCAACUGAUCUCCUG
Astatotilapia calliptera (eastern happy) is the source of this 1177-nucleotide long non-coding RNA. The record is from Ensembl. Lineage: Eukaryota; Metazoa; Chordata; Actinopteri; Cichliformes; Cichlidae.